RNAcentral lists this ribosomal RNA (252 nucleotides) under uncultured bacterium. RNAcentral's name for it is "partial 16S ribosomal RNA". It matches the Rfam family "Bacterial small subunit ribosomal RNA", at positions 524 to 776 of the family's 1533-position model. The record is from RNAcentral.
UACGUAGGUCCCGAGCGUUGUUCGGAUUUAUUGGGCGUAAAGCGAGCGCAGGUGGUUUAUUAAGUCUGGUGUAAAAGGCAGUGGCUCAACCAUUGUAUGCAUUGGAAACUGGUAGACUUGAGUGCAGGAGAGGAGAGUGGAAUUCCAUGUGUAGCGGUGAAAUGCGUAGAGAUUAGGAAGAACACCAGUGGCGAAGGCGAUUCUCUGGACUGUAACUGACGCUGAGGCUCGAAAGCGUGGGGAGCAAACAGG